Molecule: ribosomal RNA, 428 nt
Filed under: uncultured bacterium
Lineage: Bacteria
Description: bacterial SSU rRNA
Rfam family: Bacterial small subunit ribosomal RNA
Source: RNAcentral
UAGGGAAUCUUGCGCAAUGGACGAAAGUCUGACGCAGCGACGCCGCGUGAGCGAUGAAGGCCUUCGGGUUGUAAAGCUCUGUGGGGAGGGAAGAAUAAGGGCAAGCUAAUACCUUGUCUGAUGACGGUACCUCCUUAGCAAGCACCGGCUAACUCUGUGCCAGCAGCCGCGGUAAGACAGAGGGUGCAAACGUUGUUCGGAAUUACUGGGCGUAAAGCGUGCGCAGGCGGCCUUGCAAGUCGGGCGUGAAAUCCCACGGCUCAACCGUGGAAGUGCACUCGAAACUGCUUGGCUAGAGUCUUGGAGAGGAAGGCGGAAUGCUUGGUGUAGAGGUGAAAUUCGUAGAUAUCAAGCGGAACACCGGUGGCGAAGGCGGCCUUCUGGACAAUGACUGACGCUAAAACACGAAAGCGUGGGGAGCAAACAGG